CCUACGGGAGGCAGCAGUAGGGAAUUUUCGUCAAUGGGCGAGAGUCUGAACCAGCCAAGUAGCGUGAAGGAUGAAUGCCCUAUGGGUUGUAAACUUCUUUUAUAUGGGAAUAAAAUGUUCCACGUGUGGGUUUUUGUAUGUACCAUAUGAAUAAGGAUCGGCUAACUCCGUGCCAGCAGCCGCGGUAAUACGGAGGAUCCGAGCGUUAUCCGGAUUUAUUGGGUUUAAAGGGUGCGUAGGUGGAUUGUUAAGUCAGUUGUGAAAGGUUGCGGCUCAACCGUAAAAUUGCCGUUGAAACUGGCAGUCUUGAGUACAGUAGAGGUAGGCGGAAUUCGUGGUGUAGCGGUGAAAUGCUUAGAUAUCACGAAGAACUCCGAUUGCGAAGGCAGCUCACUGGACUGCAACUGACACUGAGGCUCGAAAGUGUGGGUAUCAAACAGGAUUAGAUACCCUUGUAGUC
This 460-nucleotide ribosomal RNA is filed under the name uncultured bacterium. RNAcentral describes it as "partial 16S ribosomal RNA". It matches the Rfam family "Bacterial small subunit ribosomal RNA", at positions 338 to 795 of the family's 1533-position model. The record is from RNAcentral.